CGCGUAGGAAUCUGCCUAGUAGUGGGGACGAACCUGUGGAAACGACAGGCGUAAUAACCCGCAUAAGCCCUCGAGGGGGAAAGGGAAGGGGAGUCUUCGGACCUUUCGUCUAUUAGAUGAGCCUGCGUGAGAUUAGCUAGUUGGUGAGGUAAAGGCUCACCAAGGCGACGAUCUCUAGCUGGUCUGAGAGGAUGAUCAGCCACACUGGGACUGAGACACGGCCCAGACUCCUACGGGAGGCAGCAGUGGGGAAGUAUUGGACAAUGGGCGCAAGCCUGAUCCAGCCAUACCGCGUGUGUG
RNAcentral lists this ribosomal RNA (300 nucleotides) under uncultured Marinomonas sp. RNAcentral's name for it is "bacterial SSU rRNA". It matches the Rfam family "Bacterial small subunit ribosomal RNA", at positions 114 to 407 of the family's 1533-position model. Lineage: Bacteria; Pseudomonadati; Pseudomonadota; Gammaproteobacteria; Oceanospirillales; Oceanospirillaceae. The record is from RNAcentral.